Molecule: small nucleolar RNA, 83 nt
Organism: Cairina moschata (Muscovy duck)
Lineage: Eukaryota; Metazoa; Chordata; Aves; Anseriformes; Anatidae
Source: Ensembl
CAGAUACAGUGAUGAUAGCAUAGUUCAGCAGAGAUUCUUGUGAUGAACACAGUUUUGUCUUUCGCUCCUAUCUGAUGUAUCUU